Molecule: small RNA, 26 nt
Filed under: Bombyx mori (domestic silkworm)
Lineage: Eukaryota; Metazoa; Arthropoda; Insecta; Lepidoptera; Bombycidae
Description: ovarian small RNA-15278
Source: RNAcentral
GAAGUUCACGUUUUGUCCCUUCCAGG